UGUACAAAAGGGGGCUCGAAUUCAUAAAGCUAUCAUUAAGAUUUAUUACUAUUAAAUUCUCUUUCCAACUUCUUUACAGGAAAAUUGUCCAAUUAUAUUUAAGUUGUAAUACAUCUCGUCUAUAACUAUUACCUUCACCUUUACCUGAUUUUUUUAGAUUAACACUAAUUGUUAAGUAAAAUCUAUUAAACUUAUAAACGGCGGUGGGAAAAGUGAAUUUUUCUAAGCUAAGCACGGUUAUAUGGGUAGUAUCUAUUAAGAGACAUAUUCAUCUAAUCCGAAUCCCUGGCCGCCAUGUAAUUUGAAUUUUUUUAUUAAAAUAAUCUUCUACUUUGAUCUUUUCUGUCAU
RNAcentral lists this ribosomal RNA (349 nucleotides) under Colpocephalum turbinatum. Its description in RNAcentral is "partial 12S ribosomal RNA". The record is from RNAcentral. Lineage: Eukaryota; Metazoa; Arthropoda; Insecta; Psocodea; Menoponidae.